AGUGAACGCUGGCGGUAGGCCUAACACAUGCAAGUCGAACGGCAGCACAGUAAGAGCUUGCUCUUACGGGUGGCGAGUGGCGGACGGGUGAGGAAUACAUCGGAAUCUACUUUUUCGUGGGGGAUAACGUAGGGAAACUUACGCUAAUACCGCAUACGACCUACGGGUGAAAGCAGGGGAUCUUCGGACCUUGCGCGAUUGAAUGAGCCGAUGUCGGAUUAGCUAGUUGGCGAGGUAAAGGCCCACCAAGGCGACGAUCCGUAGCUGGUCUGAGAGGAUGAUCAGCCACACUGGAACGGAGACACGGUCCAGACUCCUACGGGAGGCAGCAGUGGGGAAUAUUGGACAAUGGGCGCAAGCCUGAUCCAGCCAUACCGCGUGGGUGAAGAAGGUCUUCGGGUUGUAAAGCCCUUUUGUUGGGAAAGAAAAGCAGCAGGUUAAUACCCCGCUGUUCUGACGGUACCCAAAGAAUAAGCACCGGCUAACUACGUG
Molecule: ribosomal RNA, 492 nt
Filed under: uncultured bacterium
Lineage: Bacteria
Description: partial 16S ribosomal RNA
Rfam family: Bacterial small subunit ribosomal RNA
Source: RNAcentral